GAUGAACGCUGGCGGCGUGCCUAAUACAUGCAAGUCGAGCGAACAGAUGAGAAGCUUGCUUCUCUGAUGUUAGCGGCGGACGGGUGAGUAACACGUGGGUAACCUACCUAUAAGACUGGGAUAACUCCGGGAAACCGGGGCUAAUACCGGAUAAUAUUUUGAACCGCAUGGUUCAAUAGUGAAAGACGGUUUCGGCUGUCACUUAUAGAUGGACCCGCGCCGUAUUAGCUAGUUGGUAAGGUAACGGCUUACCAAGGCGACGAUACGUAGCCGAACUGGGAGGGAGAUCGGCCACACUGGAACGGAGACACGGUCCAGACUCCUACGGGAGGCAGCAGUAGGGAAUCUUCCGCAAUGGGCGAAAGCCUGACGGAGCAACGCCGCGUGAGUGAUGAAGGUCUUCGGAUCGUAAAGCUCUGUUGUUAGGGAAGAACAAAUUUGUUAGUAACUGAACAAGUCUUGACGGUACCUAACCAGAAAGCCACGGCUAACUACGUGCCAGCCGCCGCCGUAA
RNAcentral lists this ribosomal RNA (514 nucleotides) under uncultured bacterium. Its description in RNAcentral is "partial 16S ribosomal RNA". It matches the Rfam family "Bacterial small subunit ribosomal RNA", at positions 28 to 523 of the family's 1533-position model. The record is from RNAcentral.